UUUAUGGAGAGUUUGAUCCUGGCUCAGGACGAACGCUGGCGGCGUGCCUAAUACAUGCAAGUCGAGCGAAUGACGAGAAGCUUGCUUCUCUGAUUUAGCGGCGGACGGGUGAGUAACACGUGGGCAACCUGCCCUGUAGACUGGGAUAACUUCGGGAAACCGGAGCUAAUACCGGAUAAUCCAUUUUACCUCAUGGUGAAAUGUUGAAAGAUGCGUUUGCAUCACUACAGGAUGGGCCCGCGGUGCAUUAGCUAGUUGGUGGGGUAACGGCCUACCAAGGCAACGAUGCAUAGCCGACCUGAGAGGGUGAUCGGCCACAUUGGGACUGAGACACGGCCCAAACUCCUACGGGAGGCAGCAGUAGGGAAUCUUCCACAAUGGACGAAAGUCUGAUGGAGCAACGCCGCGUGAGUGAUGAAGGUUUUCGGAUCGUAAAACUCUGUUGUAAGGGAAGAACAAGUACGUUAGGAAAUGAACGUACCUUGACGGUACCUUAUUAGAAAGCCACGGCUAACUACGUGCCAGCAGCCGCGGUAAUACGUAGGUGGCAAGCGUUGUCCGGAUUUAUUGGGCGUAAAGCGCGCGCAGGCGGUUUCUUAAGUCUGAUGUGAAAGCCCACGGCUUAACCGUGGAGGGUCAUUGGAAACUGGG
This 651-nucleotide ribosomal RNA is filed under the name Rummeliibacillus sp. TYF005. RNAcentral describes it as "Bacterial small subunit ribosomal RNA". It matches the Rfam family "Bacterial small subunit ribosomal RNA", at positions 1 to 637 of the family's 1533-position model. The record is from Rfam by way of RNAcentral. Lineage: Bacteria; Bacillati; Bacillota; Bacilli; Caryophanales; Caryophanaceae.